Molecule: non-coding RNA, 125 nt
Organism: Triticum aestivum (bread wheat)
Lineage: Eukaryota; Viridiplantae; Streptophyta; Magnoliopsida; Poales; Poaceae
Source: Rfam
UUAAUACUCCCUCCGUCCAGAAAUACUUGUCAGAGAAAUGGAUAAAAGUGGAUGUACUUAGAACUAAAAUACGUCUAGAUACAUCGAUUCUUCCGACAAGUAUUUCCGAACGGAGGGAGUACUCA